RNAcentral lists this ribosomal RNA (172 nucleotides) under uncultured fungus. Its description in RNAcentral is "partial 28S ribosomal RNA". It matches the Rfam family "Eukaryotic large subunit ribosomal RNA", at positions 1 to 169 of the family's 3401-position model. Lineage: Eukaryota; Fungi. The record is from RNAcentral.
GUGACCUCAAAUCAGGUAGGAUUACCCGCUGAACUUAAGCAUAUCAAUAAGCGGAGGAAAAGAAACUAACAAGGAUUCCCCUAGUAACUGCGAGUGAAGCGGGAAAAGCUCAAAUUUAAAAUCUGGCAGUCUUUGGCUGUCCGAGUUGUAAUCUAGAGAAGUGCUAUCCGCG